This 429-nucleotide ribosomal RNA is filed under the name uncultured bacterium. Its description in RNAcentral is "bacterial SSU rRNA". It matches the Rfam family "Bacterial small subunit ribosomal RNA", at positions 29 to 507 of the family's 1533-position model. The record is from RNAcentral.
AACGAACGCUGGCGGCAGGCCUAACACAUGCAAGUCGAGCGCACCUUCGGGUGAGCGGCGGACGGGUUAGUAACGCGUGGGAACGUACCCUUCUCUACGGAAUAGCCUCGGGAAACUGAGAGUAAUACCGUAUACGCCCUUUGGGGGAAAGAUUUAUCGGAGAAGGAUCGGCCCGCGUUGGAUUAGGUAGUUGGUGGGGUAAUGGCCUACCAAGCCUACGAUCCAUAGCUGGUUUGAGAGGAUGAUCAGCAACACUGGGACUGAGACACGGCCCAGACUCCUACGGGAGGCAGCAGUGGGGAAUCUUAGACAAUGGGGGAAACCCUGAUCUAGCCAUGCCGCGUGAGUGAUGAAGGCCUUAGGGUCGUAAAGCUCUUUCGCUGGGGAAGNUAAUGACUGUACCCAGUAAGAACCCCGGNUAACUCCGUG